This 56-nucleotide transfer RNA is filed under the name Paromalus flavicornis. Its description in RNAcentral is "tRNA-Gln". Lineage: Eukaryota; Metazoa; Arthropoda; Insecta; Coleoptera; Histeridae. The record is from RNAcentral.
GUUGGAUUAAAAUUAAUUUCUGGUGUAGAAGCUAGGAAGUUUAGGUCUGUUCGACC